Molecule: long non-coding RNA, 1349 nt
Filed under: Meleagris gallopavo (turkey)
Lineage: Eukaryota; Metazoa; Chordata; Aves; Galliformes; Phasianidae
Description: lncRNA (ENSMGAG00000021696.1)
Source: RNAcentral
AUUUGUUCAAAAUCAUCAUGACAUCACCCUUUCCCUCUGAGAGAGCUACUGUAAUUGCUAUUUACUGAUUCAAGGCCUUUCAGGGUAAUUUCAGAGUCCUUCCACCUCCAGGCCAAAAGCCAAUUACUGGUUCACCCAUCUUCUAUCAAAGCCACAACAAAAUCUGGAGAAAAGCCCCACAAAGGCAGCUUGGCAGCCCCUUCCCCUCCUAGAGGCAGCCCUACAUGGUAUGGAGCUGUCAUCAGCCAGGCAGAAGGGUCUGCUGCCACUGUGCCUUGAGGACAACAGACUAUGCUUUUCCACUGGGCAAAUCUCAUCAGGGGCAGAAGCAGCAAAGGAAGAGCUGGGAUGGCUCCAGAUAGCAGUAAAUUUGUUGGAAAAUGAGGCUUUUGUGAGUUUGUGUGUGAAGUGGAGAGCAGGAAAUCCAGUUUGCAUCUGACAAAUGCAGAUUUGACCCCACAUCUCCAGAAAGGAGGGCAGCCUCCAUCGGCUGAAUGGCUUCAGUCUAAUGCUCCCUGUGCUGAGCUUCUUGGCUUCUUUUCUAUUUUCCUCCUAUAAAUCAGCCCACAAUAGAGAGGAGAAAGCAGGAAGAUAAACAAUCCAAAGAUGGAAAACAAAUAAUUCCAGGUCAAAAAAUAUCUGGUUGACUGAAAUGUUCUGACAAAACAAAAACAAAAACGAUCUCCUCCUCUACACCAUUAUUUCCAACUUAAUUUUCCUGCUGGCCCUUAAACAAAAAUAAAAUUAUCAGACUGGUUUUAGGUCUAUUUGUGCUCGUUCUGAUUUAACAACAGCCUGCAGUGCCACUGCUGCUUGCUGUGACUGCAUCCCCUGACAGUUUGGCGUGGCAAGAGGAAGCUUGGCUCGUUAGAGGGACGUGCCCACGAGGACUUCACAGAAAGAGCCCGCAGACACGUGGCUGUCACACAGCGGCUGUGAGGCACAAGAGGGGAGAAGCAGACAGCUAACAAAGUGCCAUCAUCAGUGCGGCCACGUGGACAGCACUUUGCAUACACAGAUCUGAAAAUGCCUCUCAGAGGAGGGAAAACAUAAUUAGCGCAGUAUGCCGUAGGAUAGAUGUUAAAGCAAUCUGUCUAGCAGACAGAUACUACAGUACAGAAUAAUAUAGAUGUUAAACCAAUGACCCAGAAUCUAGCCAGCUAAAAUCUUAAUCCCCUUUAAAUAGAUUCACAGACAUCCUUUCAUUGCAAACAUUUGAUCUGAGCAGACACUGUAUACUGUUCUGUUGUAUUUAUAGAGCACCAUGACAAAAGUUUGAGAGGUUUGCCCUUAAAUAAUGCUAUUUUUCCCUGUUAAUUUGUCAGCAAAGUGCUGUCUUUGCAUAAAUG